CGAAGAAUGUAGGAAUUCUGACAUGGAUGUGGAUGGCGCGUGAGGUUAUUUCAAUUGAUCAAACCUAAAUCUGGAAGAAUUUGGAACAAUUGGAAGCAUCAUGUAAGAGCUAACAUAUUUGCUGCCUGAAGAUACAGCUUGGCAUCCUGUUUAGAAAGAGGAGUUUGACUCCUUUUCUGCGCAAGGCAGUUAUUUAUGGAUGUGGCCCAAUCCUUCCUUACAUGUCUUAGCUCGUUCGUAGGUUGAUUCGGCACUUUGACCUGAACAACUUCAGACCAAACGAAGUCAAAAAGGGUGGAGAUCAGUUUGGCUUGCAUUUUUGCAUUUAUGGGGAUUGGGGGGCCGUUGAUCAAUUACAAGGCUGGCAUUUUGGGGGUGGAUUAUGUUCUGGUUGAUACCAUGGUUGGGCUAUCACUUUUGGGUAAUGAUCCUUUUCCAACUGCAUUAAUGUAUGCUUCUUGCCCUUCUUCACUGAAGACACCGAUAAUUCGUCGACAAGUAGUCCCCUUAGUCAUAAUAAAGAAAGCCUUCAAAAGAAUCUAGUGGUCUCUCAUCUUUUUGUAUCUUUUGAUCAUUCAGGAUAUAUGGUCAGAAGUUGCUCAUAGUCAGUCAUUAUUGCCAAGUGCAGCUGAGGACCUUGAAUACCUCAAUCUUAGGAUUUGGAUUGUCUGAAAAAUCACGAAUUGUAUUAUUAAGAGCUUUCACUUCAAGCUUCUUUGCUCUAUUAAUUUGGUUGCCCUGGCUGUUCAAGUGAAGCCGUCCACAUUUGCUGAAUGAGAAGAACAAUCUGCUCCUUGUUUUUAGAUGAGUACUUUCACAAUGGUCCAUCACACGGCACCACAUAUUCCUUUCAAAUCUUCUAAUGAGUGGAAUGCUGCUCAAGCCCAGCUGAACGGAACCGUCCACUGUGAUUAUCCUAAAUGAUAAUAAAACUUUUAUUUUACUCAA
Molecule: long non-coding RNA, 948 nt
Organism: Eucalyptus grandis
Lineage: Eukaryota; Viridiplantae; Streptophyta; Magnoliopsida; Myrtales; Myrtaceae
Exons: 3
Source: RefSeq, a predicted model, not a curated record